CUCAAUGAUAUCAUUUCUUCCACAGAUGUUGGGCGGCUCAUCUCUGGCUCUUCCUGCACCAACACACCUGCACCUCAUCACCUGUAAUCACCAGCUGCACGUAAGCUCUGCUUGGAAGACUCUCUAUGCCAGAUUAUUCCCACAUCUCUCAUGGUAUUUCAACCUGCUUCAGAGUGUUACAAAUUUAAAACUUUUACCACUGCUUGUGCAUUCUCCUCAUGAGAAUAAUCCCUGCUCUCCUCUUCUCUCCUCCAGUGUCUCUUAAGCCCAGGCCCCAACCUUUGCCACAGCUGCCACAACUCUCACACUGGAUAACUUACCUGCCUUCACUGACACUCACGCACCACGGCUCCUCACUGCACCAUACAGAUACCUUGGAUCCUCUCCCCCUCACCUCCAUUUUUAAUAAAUUAUUCAACACUUCCCUCUGCUUCGAAUCUGCUUUUGGGUUCAGUGCAAAACAUACAGGACAACCUGACAGUUUAAUUCUUCCGUGAUUAGUAGAUGGCUUGAGACAUGAGACGUGAGACUCCAGACGAAUGAAAUUCCCUUUGGGAUCAAUAGAGUUCUUGUAUUGUAUUGUAUUGUCUUGAAUUGUAACGCAAGUCAACGUGUCUGAAGGCUGGUUGUUGGCUGUAGGUACACAAACUUCAUGAAAACCAGGUCAAGUAGACUUCCUCUCUCCCCCAUUACAUUCACCAGUCUAACUAGUGUUCUGAGUUCUAUAACAUUUCGUGUCUUUUUAGAAUCUAUGUACAGUGUCCUGGGGCCUUAUGUAUCAACGCUGGCGGCGCCAGAAAACCUUGCGUACGCCAAAAUCGGCGCACACGUCCAGAUUUAUCAUCGCGAAACGAGCAUCGGUUCCAGCGUUAAUCAACGCAAAGUGAGGAGGUGGUGUAGAAGUUGGCGUUGAGCUGAUACUUGCGUUGACGGCACUUUGGCGACGCUGUGUGGCGGUGUUUAGUGACUCACUGUAAGGUUUUGAUGGUCAUAAAACCUCUAAACGGAAUGGAACCAAGCGGUAGUGAAGAUCUCCAGCAUGAGGAAAAAAGGAUGGUGUCAGACAGCAGGUUUCAGAGCUCUGAUAUUUUUAAUAAAUCCAAGUGAUCACACACAGCAGUCUUAAUGAUCAUCCUUUGAGUAGCAGGC
Xyrichtys novacula (pearly razorfish) is the source of this 1149-nucleotide non-coding RNA. The record is from the annotation of a GenBank genome assembly. Lineage: Eukaryota; Metazoa; Chordata; Actinopteri; Labriformes; Labridae.